RNAcentral lists this transfer RNA (72 nucleotides) under [Emmonsia] crescens. Its description in RNAcentral is "Emmonsia crescens tRNA". It matches the Rfam family "tRNA". From Rfam's summary of the family: Transfer RNA (tRNA) molecules are approximately 80 nucleotides in length. Lineage: Eukaryota; Fungi; Ascomycota; Eurotiomycetes; Onygenales; Ajellomycetaceae. The record is from Rfam by way of RNAcentral.
GGUUGUAUAGUGUAGCGGUCAGCACACCAGAUUCUGAUUCUGGAGACCUGGGUUCGAUUCCCAGUACGACCU